Molecule: long non-coding RNA, 2188 nt
Organism: Oncorhynchus nerka (sockeye salmon)
Lineage: Eukaryota; Metazoa; Chordata; Actinopteri; Salmoniformes; Salmonidae
Exons: 3
Source: RefSeq, a predicted model, not a curated record
UUUAACAGGGCAUUAAAAACAGACUGCAAAGUGAAAUAAUAUUUGACGUGGCAAGAAAGACCGGGCAGCAGAGCCUACCGGUUAACGUCUCAAUUGCGUUGUGCUUGUUUUGUCCAGCAGAGCGGGCUGCUCGCUAUAGCAGCUUCAUUCACUCUUCUACUAACUACAUGCUCGCUCUAGUUUUAGAGAAAACUGCUGUGGAAAACUCGGCCAGAACCUAACAAGUGUCAAGUGAAUCCACAACAUCACCACAAACGUCUUUUCAAGCCAGAUUGGAGAGGAUGGAGAAGAAGAAAUGAAGGGAGUAAAACGAGUGAAGCGAGGAGAGUGUAGAAGAGUGAGGUGGAAAGGUGAAGAGAAGGAAGACGAGUGAAGAAAAGAGGAGGAGAAAGAUUGGAGCAGAAGAAAAAGUUAAGAGAGUAAGAAGAGCAGACAGAGGAGGUACAAUGGCUCUUUCCAAGAAAUGGAAUGAAUGAUAUAUGGACAGCAGCAAGAAAUAGGCUCACUGUUCCUACGCUUAUUGUGAACACAAACUUCAACCUCCCCUGCCAGGAGCUCACGGUGAAGCUGGCCAAAGAGAGCAAUCCUGAAGAAGAUACAUUCUUCUGAGAAAUAUACAGAUUAGGCUACCAGGACCCAUGAAUGGCUGUUCAGAUCGGAUAGUUCUGUCUUGUCUGUAGUGUUUCUGUAAUACAGUUGUUUUCUCUGUCACAAUGUGCCUGUUAGACUAAAUACACAAAACCGGAAUUGUCCCCCUUUUUUUAUUUAAUUGAUAAUAACAUUGGAUAUUUUAAUGAUAUAUUGACAGCCGAACUGGAAAUAUCCCCGGUUUUAAUUUAAAAAAUGUGGUCACCUUAUUGUAAAUGUGAUAAAACAAUGGAUUGUUUGGUGGACCUCAGAUGUCUUCAAAAGAGAGAGUUACUGGAAUUUGCCAUGAUCAUUUUUAGAUUGCUGAGGUGUUGUUUUAUAACUCAAGUGAAACAAGUCAUUUAGGUUUACACAGGCAGCCCAAUUCUGAUCUUUGUUCCACUAAUUGGUGGAGCUGAUCUGAUUGGUCAAAAGACCAAUUAGUGAAGAAAAAUUCAGAAUCGGGCUGCCUAUGUAAAUGCUGCCAAACAUAUUACAUAUGUACGGUACACUCACAUGGAGUAUUUGAAAACAAGAACAUGAUCAAAUUAAAUGUUUGGUAGUUUAUCUUACAGUGAACGUUGGAGGAGAAGUAGGUUGUGCAACCAUAGACAGUCCAAUGUACUUGAUUGUGUCAGUUUCUGUUGAAAGGGGAAAGGCAGGCAUGCAGAAUCAACUAGUGUUUCUCAUUUUCAAGAUCCUGUUGACAUUUCAACAAUAUUUUAAUACUCGAUUAGCCAUGGUUACCGUGAAUAGGUGUUACAUGUUCUUAUAAUUAUUCAUUUUGUUAAGGUAACCACCAUUCUAAAUUGCAGUCCAGUAAGUACAGUAUAGUGUAUCAUCAACAUCCAUCUCUACCUUGAGGAGUGUAACAGUCUGUACAGUUUGUUCGGUCUUGAGCACAUCUACAGAUUCCACCAGAUCCAUUCUUCUGAUAUGGCGCACUGACCAUUACCCUGUGGGUGAAAAAAUAAAAAUGUUAGUUUGGUCGAUUUAGAUGACACUGCAUCCACUUCUAUUACAUAUGAUACACUUUAGAUCAAGAAUGGUUGCAUAACAUUUCUGACAAUGUUGGUAAAUUACUUUUGUAUAUCUGUUUUCUUUUGGUUACUAAGGUUAGAAUAGCAACUGCAUGGCGAAAGAGGAAAGCACGGUGUUGUCAGAGGUGUGAUAUGACAGAACACAAGUCAGAAUUUCCAUCCCGUCAAUGUAUGCAUAACUGAUACACUGAUCCACAUUAGUCAUGGGCUUUGGGUGCAGCUGACAUCAUUUAAGAAAGUAAAUAAGAAUAUAAUAUGUGGAUGCUACCAUGAAAGGAUCAUCCUCAAUGAGUCUUGAAUAAUAAUGAGUGAGAAAGUUACAGAGGCAUAACUCCCCUGUUAUUGUAAUGGUGAGAGGUUCGCAUGUCUUGGGGUGUGAUAUUUGUACGUCUAACAUUCAAAAGGUGUUGUACUUUCUAAACGCUUCACCAGACAUGGAUGAAGAUACCCUCAAAUUAAAGCUGCCAGACUGCACUUUAACCUCAUAGUCAUUAUAUAAUUUAAAAUCCAAAGUGCUGGAG